RNAcentral lists this ribosomal RNA (622 nucleotides) under uncultured bacterium. RNAcentral's name for it is "bacterial SSU rRNA". It matches the Rfam family "Bacterial small subunit ribosomal RNA", at positions 249 to 885 of the family's 1533-position model. The record is from RNAcentral.
UUGGUGAGGUAACGGCUUACCAAGGCUUCGACGGGUAGCUGGUCCGAGAGGAUGAUCAGCCACACUGGGACUGAGACACGGCCCAGACUCCUACGGGAGGCAGCAGUAGGGAAUCUUGCGCAAUGGGCGAAAGCCUGACGCAGCAACGCCGCGUGCGGGAUGAAGGCCUUCGGGUUGUAAACCGCUUUCAGAAGGAACGAAACUGACGGUACUUUCAGAAGAAGGUGCGGCCAACUACGUGCCAGCAGCCGCGGUGACACGUAGGCACCAAGCGUUGUCCGGAUUUAUUGGGCGUAAAGAGCUCGUAGGCGGUUCAGUUAGUCGGGUGUGAAAACUCUGGGCUUAACCCGGAGAUGCCACCCGAUACUGCUGUGACUUGAGUUCGGUAGGGGAGUGGGGAAUUUCUAGUGUAGCGGCGAAAUGCGCAGAUAUUAGAAGGAACACCGGUGGCGAAGGCGCCACUCUGGGCCGAAACUGACGCUGAGGAGCGAAAGCGUGGGUAGCAAACAGGAUUAGAUACCCUGGUAGUCCACGCCGUAAACGUUGGGCACUAGGUGUGGGCCUCAACCAACGAGGUCCGCGCCGUCGCUAACGCAUUAAGUGCCCCGCCUGGGGAGUACGG